RNAcentral lists this long non-coding RNA (387 nucleotides) under Sorghum bicolor (sorghum). RNAcentral's name for it is "long non-coding RNA (SBIC_LNC010988)". The record is from RNAcentral. Lineage: Eukaryota; Viridiplantae; Streptophyta; Magnoliopsida; Poales; Poaceae.
AGCGUAGUUCUUUAAUCUACAGCUUUCCGAUGAAACUAUCACCAGACAACCAAUGCACCUCUAAGCCUCCAAUUCAGUAUUUACAGGGCGUAUUUACAGAGAACUUGCUGGGCUAGACCAUCUGUAGCUAGACCAUCUGUAUUUUCAGAAUGUCAUAUGAGAAGUUUGUUAAUCCAUGGUGUAGACUCCAGCCAGAGGAUUAUGUUGUCUCGUCAAACUCCAUCUUCUGCAUUGAAUUACAAAGUGGGUGUUCAAUUAAGUGUCCAUCAGAGAAAAUAACAUUUCGUGAAGGACUGGUAAAAUUGAUCACAAUUGCCAUCAGCUAUUAUACAUUUAUUUAUCAGAGACUAUUAUUCUGGAUGAAACUUGAGACAACACAGGCCUAGC